CCUACGGGUGGCAGCAGUGGGGAAUAUUGGGCAAUGGAGGAAACUCUGACCCAGCAAUGCCGCGUGAAUGAAGAAGGUCUUCGGAUUAUAAAGUUCUUUAUUCAGGGAAGAAGUCAAUGACGGUACCUGAAGAAUAAGCUCCGGCUAACUACGUGCCAGCAGCCGCUGUAAUACGUAGGGAGCAAGCGUUGUUCGGAAUGACUGGGCGUAAAGGUUGCGUAGGCGGUUGUACAAGUUAGAAGUGAAAUACCCAGGGCUUAACUCGGGUGCUGCUUCUAAAACUGUAUGACUAGAGUGGAGUAGAGGUUAGUGGAAGUCGUAGUGUAGCGGUGGAAUGCGUAGAUAUUAGGAGGAACACCAGAGGCGAAGGCGGCUAACUGGACUGCAACUGACGCUGAGGCACGAAAGUGUGGGGAGCAAACAGGAUUAGAUACCCUUGUAGUC
Molecule: ribosomal RNA, 444 nt
Filed under: uncultured bacterium
Lineage: Bacteria
Description: partial 16S ribosomal RNA
Rfam family: Bacterial small subunit ribosomal RNA
Source: RNAcentral